GCGGGUAUCGUAUAGCGGCUAUUAUAUCUGCCUUCCAAGCAGAAGAUGCGGGUUCGACUCCCGCUACCCGCUCCA
RNAcentral lists this transfer RNA (75 nucleotides) under candidate division Kazan bacterium. Its description in RNAcentral is "tRNA-Gly". It matches the Rfam family "tRNA". Rfam says of the family: Transfer RNA (tRNA) molecules are approximately 80 nucleotides in length. Their secondary structure includes four short double-helical elements and three loops (D, anti-codon, and T loops). RNAcentral also lists the same sequence under 1 other name. The record is from RNAcentral.